CCUACGGGUGGCAGCAGUCGAGAAUCAUUCACAAUGGGGGAAACCCUGAUGGUGCGACGCCGCGUGGGGGAAUGAAGGUCUUCGGAUUGUAAACCCCUGUCAUGUGGGCGCAAAUUAAAAAGAUAGUACCACAAGAGGAAGAGACGGCUAACUCUGUGCCAGCAGCCGCGGUAAUACAGAGGUCCCAAGCGUUGUUCGGAAUCACUGGGCGUAAAGGGUGCGUAGGCGGUUUCGUAAGUCGUGUGUGAAAGUCGCGGGCUCAACCCGCGGACGGCACAUGAUACUGCGAGACUAGAGUAAUGGAGGGGGAACCGGAAUUCUCGGUGUAGCAGUGAAAUGCGUAGAUAUCGAGAGGAACACUCGUGGCGAAGGCGGGUUCCUGGACAUUAACUGACGCUGAGGCACGAAGGCCAGGGGAGCGAAAGGGAUUAGAUACCCCAGUAGUC
RNAcentral lists this ribosomal RNA (446 nucleotides) under uncultured bacterium. RNAcentral describes it as "partial 16S ribosomal RNA". It matches the Rfam family "Bacterial small subunit ribosomal RNA", at positions 338 to 795 of the family's 1533-position model. The record is from RNAcentral.